RNAcentral lists this ribosomal RNA (253 nucleotides) under uncultured bacterium. RNAcentral describes it as "partial 16S ribosomal RNA". It matches the Rfam family "Bacterial small subunit ribosomal RNA", at positions 524 to 776 of the family's 1533-position model. The record is from RNAcentral.
UACGGAGGGUGCAAGCGUUAUCCGGAUUUACUGGGUUUAAAGGGUGCGUAGGCGGCCCGUUAAGUCAGUGGUGAAAGCCUCCAGCUCAACUGGAGAACUGCCAUUGAUACUGACGGGCUUGAGUACAGACGAGGUAGGCGGAAUUGAUUGUGUAGCGGUGAAAUGCAUAGAUACAAUCAAGAACUCCGAUUGCGUAGGCAGCUUACUAGGCUGUAACUGACGCUGAGGCACGAAAGCGUGGGGAGCGAACAGG